GUGCUCACUUCAGGAGCACAUAUACUAAAAUUGGAAUAUACAAAGAAUAUAAGCAUGGCCUCUGCUCAAGGACGACAUGAGGAGACUGUCAAAGAUUAAUUAACCAU
Suricata suricatta (meerkat) is the source of this 107-nucleotide small nuclear RNA. NCBI's taxonomy places the organism in Eukaryota, Metazoa, Chordata, Mammalia, Carnivora, Herpestidae. The record is from Ensembl.